This 442-nucleotide ribosomal RNA is filed under the name uncultured bacterium. RNAcentral describes it as "partial 16S ribosomal RNA". It matches the Rfam family "Bacterial small subunit ribosomal RNA", at positions 338 to 795 of the family's 1533-position model. The record is from RNAcentral.
CCUACGGGUGUCAGCAGUGGGGAAUAUUGGACAAUGGGCGCAAGCCUGACCCAGCAACGCCGCGUGAAGGAAGAAGGCUUUCGGGUUGUAAACUUCUUUUAAGAGGGAAGAGCAGAAGACGGUGCCUCUUGAAUCAGCCACGGCUAACUACGUGCCAGCAGCCGCGGUAAUACGUAGGUGGCAAGCGUUGUCCGGAUUUACUGGGUGUAAAGGGCGUGUAGCCGGUCUGACAAGUCAGAUGUGAAAUUCCGGGGCUCAACCCCGGACCUGCAUUUGAAACUGGUGGUCUUGAGUAUCGGAGAGGAAGGUGGAAGUCCUAGUGUAGCGGUAAAAUCCGUAGAGAUAAAGAGGAAUACUCAUUGCGAAGGCGACCUGCUAGAACAUAACUGACGCUGAGGCGCGAAAGCGUGGGUAGCAAACAGGAUUAGAUACCCCUGUAGUC